Molecule: long non-coding RNA, 975 nt
Filed under: Pongo abelii (Sumatran orangutan)
Lineage: Eukaryota; Metazoa; Chordata; Mammalia; Primates; Hominidae
Description: lincRNA
Source: RNAcentral
AUGGAGGUCUUAGGGUUCUCGAACAGUAAGAUGGAUGUCAGAGCCAAACGUCAACUUGAAAUCUGGAUGGAAAUGGCUCCCUCCAAGCCUGAACCUCAGGGGAAGGCUCAGCAGUCACAGCCCACCAGUGUUUCCUUUCAGCUGCCAAUGCUGCUCAGAGAGGGAGGUGCUGCUGCUGCCUGGAGGGGGCAGCCCUGAAGGUUACGGAAGACAGUGGGCAGAGAAUGUGGAAAAUCACCCAGAGGUUGCUGCUCACACUUCAUGUCUUCAGAGCAUCACCCCUCAUUUUAUAGCUGGAGAGGUUGGUGCACAGCCAGGGAAAGCCAGGAACAGGUUCCGGCUUCCAUCACUCAGAUACUCAGGAAUCCCUGGUUCUAGAGGCUGGACAGUCCAAGAUCAAGGUGCCUGCAUCUGGCAUCUAGUGUGGGCCCUAUUCCUGGUUUGCAGUUUUUCAUUGUUAUUGUCUCAGAUCACCAAAAAGUGGACAGGGAGGAGGAGUGGAAGCAAGGAAAAAUAAGGAAAGAAAUACACUGGAUCCCAUUGUUUACAAUGUGGUCUUGGCUGCAGUGUGUUGAGGACCAGUCUAUAGCAGGAAUUCCCAAACUUGAACAUGGUGACUCGCACCAGACUGAGUCACUCCUGGAUGUUCUGGUGGGAGGGUUUUGGGGAGUCCCCCACACAGCCCCACCUCACCUCCAAGAGGCUGGAGGCCCCACAGGUGGGUACAGUGUUGGUGGCCAGCCCCUUGGUGGCCAUGGCUGGUGGGUGGGCGAGGAAACUGGUCCCGUUGGUGGACCUCAUGCCUGGUGGGCGCCGCCCACGGCACUGGGAACUUCCUUGCUCCUUUUGGUGCUGUUGGCACAGCCUUUCCAGAGCAGCAAAUGAAUGCCAGUCUCCUCCCACACCCCUCCAGGAACGCAGACCAACACAGCUGCUCUAUUAAAUGUGUGCACUUCUUAUUCUGAGUAUGUCUGA